AGUUUUAGAUCUAAAAAGCACUUUAAAACACGAAGAAACUCCUAAUCAGGAAACCCAUUUCCCAAUUUAGAAGAUUAGAUAAGAACAUUAGAAUUUAGAUCUGAAAUCUUACUUGUUGCAAACCCAUGCAUAUCAAUCUUCAAAGAUUCAAAUCAUCAAGCAAACCCAGUUCAUGAUAAGCCCAAGAAAAUCAAAACUCAAGAGAACCAGAAUCUCUCAGAACUCCCUACAAUCAAUAAAACAGACUUCAUUAACCGCGAAAUCAAAUAUAAAUACACAAGAUACAUAAUGUGGAUAUAUACAUACACCAACUUAUCUGAAAAAAACUAAGAAACGAACAAAUCAACUUAUAUGGAAGGAAAGAUUUGAAAAAAUAAAAAUCUUUUAAGACUUGUGGGGAUCAAGGAAGUACCCAAAUUUUACCAUUUUAGAUUGAUUUGAGAUAUACCCUCAAAAGAGUAAAGAUUUGAUUGAAAAUGAAAAGGGCUUUUACCUUUUGGGGAAAAGGGUUUACAGAGAGCAUCAAAGCUGUUUCUACUGAGUUCAUACCACACUCCUCAACUUUCUCUGCUCUCACUAGAAACUCUAUAUUUAUGUCUGAGAAAAUGGGAAUUUGGGCUGACAAGGAGGAAAAAAC
Molecule: long non-coding RNA, 637 nt
Filed under: Panax ginseng (ginseng)
Lineage: Eukaryota; Viridiplantae; Streptophyta; Magnoliopsida; Apiales; Araliaceae
Description: long non-coding RNA (PGIN_LNC009265)
Source: RNAcentral